This 6605-nucleotide long non-coding RNA is filed under the name Prunus persica (peach). RNAcentral's name for it is "long non-coding RNA (PPER_LNC006417)". Lineage: Eukaryota; Viridiplantae; Streptophyta; Magnoliopsida; Rosales; Rosaceae. The record is from RNAcentral.
UUGGUGAGUAUGCUGCAUCUGCUACUGCUACUGCAUUUGGAGAUUUGAAGAUGCUAUUGUCAGAAGGGAAUUUGUUGCAAAUUAUGCGGGUUCUAUUGUAAAUCUGUAAAAUACGUAGAUACUCAUAGUUGUACAAAGAAUGAUUUAACAAAAUUUAUUUGGUUUUCGUAACUGAGUUUUUUUUUUAAGAUUUUUUGUUUAUUUAUAAAUUUAAAAAAGUUUGCAUUUUUAGCCACAAUUGAGAAAUUUGUGUCCAUAUUGUUAUAAAAUAAUCUGGAAUAUAAGCGGAUAUUGAGCUGCACGUAAAAUAGAUGAGACACAGCUUUUAACGAGGUUCGGCUAUGCCUACGUCCUCGGAGAGCAGCAGCAGUAACCUUUCACUAUAAAAUGAUAUGGCUACAACUUUAGGGUUUACAACAUAUGUGGCUCACUGAAUUUUCUCUCUAGGAGAAUUUCUCUCUAGGAGAAUUUCUCUCUGCUUUCUCUUCUCUCUUUUCUUUUUCUUCUUUUUUCUGUCUCUCUUCUUUCCGUUUCUCUUCUUAUUUAUAGGCUGAAAUAAUCACUAUUCAUCACUAUUCACUAUUCACCCGUGACAGACAAACUCUACCAAAAGUCUCCAAAUGAAUAGUAAUGAACAGUAAUGAAUAGUUAGUGGGCUCCACACCAAGACUUUUACAACACUCCCCCUUGGAGACCACAUGUCCCUAGAUUGGUUGCCUCAUUAAAACCUUGCUUGGAAAAAUCCAGUGGGAAAAUCUAAGCGAAGGAAAAAAGUACAACGUGCAUAUGUCCUAUGUUAGAGGACUCUUGAAUGCUCCCCCUGAUUUUGCAUGCUCCAACUUGAUUGCUUGCAGAGUUGUCGUAAUCCGAUGCCAUGCACUAACUUUUGGAAUGUACAUUUCGGCAAUGAUUUAGUGAAGAGAUCUGCCAGGUUAUCACUUGAGCGGAUUUGUCUGACUUUGAUUUCUUGACUCUUCUGGAGCUCAUGUGUAUAGAAAAACUUUGGUGAUAUGUGUUUGUCCUGUCACCCUUGAUAUAUCCUCCUGUGAUCUGAGCAAUACAAGCUGCAUUGUCCUCAUUCAGAAUUGUUGGAGUGCCUGUUGUUGAGGGUAGGGCACAUGUGCUUCGGAUGUGAUGGAUUACUGACCUUAACCAAACGCAUUCACGACUGGCUUCAUGGAGGGCAAGUAUUUCUGAGUGAUUGGAAGAUGUGGCCACUAAUGUUUGUUUUGUUGAGCGUCAUGAGAUCGCAGUUCCUCCACAUGUAAAUACAUACCCAGUCUGUGAUCGUCCUUGAUGUGGAUCAGAGAGAUAUCCUGCAUCAGCAUAACCAAUAAUACUCUGGGCGUUGGUCGAUUCACUGGAAUAGAAUAACCCCAUGUCUGUUGUCCCACGAAGGUAUCGUAGAACAUGUUUGAUGCCGGUCCAGUGUCGCCUUGUUGGAGCAGAACUGUACCUUGCUAACAGAUUUACUGAGAAUGAUAUGUCUGGUUUGGUACAUUGUGCUACUUACAAUAAAGCACCUAUUGCACUAAGAUAUGGUACUUCUGGACCAAGGACCAUUUCAUCAUUCCCUUUUGGACGAUAUGGGUCUUUCUUAGUGUCAAGCGAUCGAACGACCAUUGGAGUGCUAAGUGGAUGGGCUUUAUCCAUGCCAAACCGUUUCAAUACUUUCUCAGUAUAAGUUGAUUGAUGCACCAAAAUUCCAUUAGCACUGUGCUCAAUCUGCAAGCCAAGACAAUAUUUUGUCUUUCCAAGGUCCUUCAUCUCAAACUCACGUUUGAGAUAAUCAACAGUCUUUUGAAGCUCUGCAGAAGUUCCAAUUAGAUUCAUGUCGUCGACAUAUACUGCCACUAUCGCAAAUCCAGACUUUGAUUUCUUAAUAAACACACAUGGGCAAACAGGAUCAUUUGUGUAUCCUUCCUUCAGUAAAUACUUACUGAGACGAUUGUACCACAUUCGUCCAGAUUGUUUUAGCCCAUAUAAUGAUCUUCUCAAUUUAACUGAGAACAUACCCCGUGGUUUGUUUCUGGCUGCUUCAGGCAACCUGAAUCCUUCUGGAACUUUCAUGUAUAUAUCUGUAUCCAAUUCUCCAUACAAAUAUGCGGUAAUGACAUCCAUGUGUCUCAUUUCAAGUUUUUCUGAAACCGCCAAACUUAUUAGGUAACGGAAUGUAAUUGUGUCCAUUACUGGAGAGUACGUUUCCACAUAAUCAAUUCCAGGCCUUUGUGAAAAACCUUGCACAACGAGUCGCGCUUUAUACCUUGAGAUCUCAUUUUUCUCAUUGCGCUUUCUUGUAAAUACCCACUUGUAACCUACAGGGUUCACAUUGGGUGGAGUUGGACUAAUAUGUCCAAAAACACUCCUCUUUUCCAAAGAAUUUAAUUCUGCCUGGAUUGCAUCCUUCCACUUGGGCCAAUCUUGCCUCUGUGUACAUUCAUUAAUAGAGCGCGGUUCAAUAUCAUCAUCUUUUAUGACUUCAGCAGCCACUGAGAAUGCAAAUAUAUCAUCGAUGAUCAUCUCAUUUCUACUCCACAAUUCAUUAGUGGACGUAUAAUUUAUGGAGAUUUCUUGACUUUCAGGUACGGUUGCCACUCCAUGGGCACUUGUCUCACCAAUGACUUUUUCCUUGUCAAGAAGUACCUGUCCCUCUUUGGGGGCAUUUGAAUUAUGAAUUGUGGGCUCUCUAUUUAUUUCAUUUGGAUUCAUUUUGUCCAUCAACUUUCUCUUUCGAGGAACUGAAUCCUUUGAGCCUAGUGGUCUGCCACGUUUUAGGCGUGCAGCAGAUGAACCAUUUGCUGGCACAUUGCUUUGUCCAUUAUGGACAUCAAUCCGUGCGGGUGCAUUUGCAGCUGGGAUAUGAGAUUUCGUCACCUUUGCUGCAUCAUUAAAUGCAUCUGGCAUCUGAUUUGCAAUACUUUGGAGGUGAACGAUCCUUCUCACUUCGUUUUCGCAUUGAGCAGUAUGAGGAUCGAGAUGAGACAAUGUGGAUACAUUCCAGGAUAAUUCAUGUCGUUUUUCAGGAAUGAGUUUGCCUUGUUCUUUAGACACAGAUUUUUCUCCCCCUAAUGGUGGGAAGAUUGUCUCAUCAAAAUCACAAUCCGCAAAUCGUGCGGUAAAAAUAUCACCCGUCAGGGGUUCCAAGUAUCUGAUGAUAGAUGGUGAAUCAACACCAACAUAAAUUCCCAAUCUGCGUUGAGGGCCCAUCUUAGUACGUUGCGAUGGUGCAAUAGGCACAUACACCGCACACCCAAAAAUUCUUAAAUGUGAAAUGUUUGGUUGAUUUCCCAAUACGAGUUGUAUUGGAGAACCUUGAUUAUUGGCGACGGGCCUCAAUCGCACAAGCGAUGCUGCAUGUAAAAUGGCAUAUCCCCAAGCAGAAACUGGCAACUUUGUUUUCAUUAGCAAAGUGCGUGCUAUCAAUUGAAGGCGUUUAAUUAAAGCUUCUGCCAAGCCAUUUUGAGUAUGCACAUGGGGAACAGGAUGUUCAAUAUCAAUGCCUAAUGACAUGCAGUAGUCAUCAAAAGUCUGAGAUGUAAAUUCACCAGCAUUAUCGAGUCUGAUUGAUUUAAUGGGAUAAUCUGGGAAUUGGGCUCGUAAUUUAAUUAUCUGAGCCAAAAGCCUAGCAAAUGCCAUAUUCCGAGUAGAUAAAAGACAAACAUGUGACCAUCGGGUAGAUGCGUCCACCAAGACCAUAAAGUACCGAAAUGGUCCACAUGGGGGAUGAAUGGGUCCACAAAUGUCCCCUUGAAUUCUCUGCAAAAAUGAUGGAGACUCAACAUCAACCUUUGGUUGUGAUGGUCUGAUCACCAACUUCCCUUGUGAACAAGCUUGGCAAAAGAUGUCGCUUGAUAACAUAAUGUGUUUAGUCAACAAGGGAUGUCCUUUAGAGUUGGUGAUGAUCCUGCGCAUCAUGGUGGAUCCAGGAUGACCCAACCUGUCGUGCCAAAGCUUAAAAGCAUUUGAGUCAGUAGACUCUUGGUCCAUGACACUAUGUGCCUCAAUUGUCCGUAUGGUUGUGUAAUACAACCCUGAUGAGAGCUCACAAAGCUUUUUCAGUAUACGCUUUUGGGUAUCACUGGAGGUAAUACAAAGAUAUUCCAUGUUUUCCUCUUUCUUUGUUUCAACAUGGUAGCCAUUCAAACGUAUAUCUUUGAAACUCAACAGAUUCCUUCUGGAGUUAGAUGAAUACAAAGCAUCUGGAAUGGACAAUAUUGUUCCAUUCGGUAACAUAAUUUGGGCUAUUCCUGAACCUUCGAUCAGAUCUGCAGGACCUGAUAUGGUUGUUACCUUUCCUUUUGUAAGCAUUAAUUUUGAGAAAUACUUCCGAUCUUGAAAGAUCGUAUGAGUAGUUGCGUUGUUUGCGAGACAAAUAUCUCUGCCAUAGCCUUUGUUUUGAGGGCAUCCACAAUUUACAUCCAUGCCACCAAAUAAGUAAAAUGAGCUGGAAUAUAUAAAGAAGACAACAUUACCACUUUUAUUUAAACAACACUUCAGCUAAUACAAAUAGUACAUUAAGGAAUUUAAUCUAAUUCGGACUUAAUAAAGAAGACAACAUUACCACUUUUAUUGGAUUGAAAUUUAAACAACACUUCAGCUAAUACAAAUAGUACAUUAAGGAAUUUAAUAUAAUUCGGACUCAUAACCUUCAUUCCCUUUUUCAGUAACAAAAUCAGAAACAUCUAGAUGCGUCUUGUUUAGCUGACGUGAUAUUUCUGAUGAGCCAUCUGUGGCUGGCGGAGCAUGAUCAAUGUAAUUUAUCUCCACUUUCCUGUUCUUAAGUGAAGCUUGAUAGAGAUCCGCCAAAUGCCUGGGCGUACGACAUGCGCGCAUCCAAUGUCCCUUUGCACCACAUCUGUGACAAGGGCUUUCAACAUUUCUAGGCACAUGGCUCAUCUGUGCCUUUCCCUUAUUACGGGAUGCAUUUUUGCCAUUCGUGGAUGGACCGCUCCUUGGACCUAAACCCUCUGAACGAGCACCACGAUUUUUUCUACUUCCUUGCCAGUGGCCACGCUUGCCCCCUCGCCCACGUUUGUGGAUACUACCACGAGAUAAAGUGGCAUUGGUGAUUCUUUAAUAAGAGCUCAUUAUUCUGCUCAGCUAAUAAGAGGCAAGAUACAAGUUCCGAGUACUUCUUGAAACUGCUAUGUCUGUAUUGCUGUUGAAGGAGGACAUUUGAAGCAUGAAAAGUGCUCAGAGUUUUUUCGAGCAUAUCCUCCUCAGAUAUAUUUUCCCCACAUAGCCUCAUUAAUGAGGUAAUUCUGUGCAUAGCAGAGUUAUACUCGGACACUGACUUGAAAUCUUGAAAUCUCAAGUGGGUCCAUUCGUAUCUAGCUCUUGGGAGAGUCAUCGUCUUCUGGUGAUCGUAUCUUUCACCUAUAGCUUUCCACAGAACCAACGGUUCAUCAACUACCACAUAUUCGCUCUUCAGCCCUUCAUGGAUGUGGCGGCGAAGAAAGAUCAUGGCCUUCGCAUUCUCUUCAGGCGAAGCAUCAUUCUCAUCUACAAUUGUUUGUCCGAGGCCAUUGGCUCGUAGAUGAAUUUUGGCAUCCAGGACCCAUGAUAAAUAGUUGUCCCCGGAAAGGUCCAAGGCAGCAAACUCGAGUUUUGCCAAAUUUGCCAUCUAAAACUUUAGGCUCGAGAUCUGAAAUAUUAAGCCACUUAUUAAUAGGAAUUUCAGGCCCUCAUUAUUCAGGUAUAUUAAUUGAUGAUAAAUAAAAUGUUAUGAAUUUGCUGGUAUGGACGAUAAACCUGCACCAUACCUUAAAUGUGCGGUAAAUUAAAUUCAUAAAGUUAAGGUGCUUGUAUGGGCAUUUAUUCUGCUCCAUACAUUUAAUAAAAGUAAAGGCGUGGACGAUAAACCUGCACCACCCUUUUAAAUAAAUACUAUUGUAUGGGUAAUAAACCUACACCAUACAGUAAAUAAAAUAAAUGUGCGGUAAAGUUAAUUUCAUAAAGUAUGAGGGUCAAUUCCUCAUCAUACUUUAAGAAAAAGUAAAUUUGCGAUAAAGUAAAUUUCAUAAAGUUAAUUUCAUAAAGUAUGAGGGUCAAUUCCUCAUCAUACUUUAAGAAAAAGUAAAUUUGCGAUAAAGUAAAGUGAGAGUAGACAUAUGACAGAGAGGAGACAGAGAAGUAACCACAUAGUGUUGAGUUGGAAAAAUUUCAGAAAUAAAAGGAGAGACUAUCGUGCUGAUAACGUGUUAUAAAAUAACCUGGAAUAUAUGCGGAUAUUGAGCUGCACGUAAAAUAGAUGAGACACAGCUUUUAACGAGGUUCGGCUAUGCCUACGUCCUCGGAGAGCAGCAGCAGUAACCUUUCACUAUAAAAUGAUAUGGCUACAACUUUAGUGUUUACAACAUAUGUGGCUCACUGAAUUUUCUCUCUAGGAGAAUUUCUCUCUGCUUUCUCUUCUCUCUUUUCUUUUUCUUCUUUUUUCUGUCUCUCUUCUUUCCGUUUCUCUUCUUAUUUAUAGGCUGAAAUAAUCACUAUACUAUUCAUCACUAUUCACUAUUCACCCGUGACAGACAAACUCUACCAAAAGUCUCCAAAUGAAUAGUAAUAAACAGUAAUGAAUAGUUAGUGGGCUCCACACCAAGCCUUUUACA